RNAcentral lists this ribosomal RNA (440 nucleotides) under uncultured bacterium. Its description in RNAcentral is "partial 16S ribosomal RNA". It matches the Rfam family "Bacterial small subunit ribosomal RNA", at positions 338 to 795 of the family's 1533-position model. The record is from RNAcentral.
CCUACGGGAGGCAGCAGUGGGGGAUAUUGCACAAUGGGCGAAACCCUGAUGCAGCGACGCCGCGUGUGGGAAGACGGUCUUCUGGAUUGUAAACCACUGUCCCCAGGGACGAAAAUGACGAUACCUGGGGAGGAAGCUCCGGCUAACUACGUGCCAGCAGCCGCGGUAAUACGUAGGGAGCAAGCGUUGUCCGGAAUUACUGGGUGUAAAGGGAGCGUAGGCGGGGAUGCAAGUUGGGUGUCAAAACUACCGGCUCAACCGAUAGUCGCACUCAAAACUGGAGCUCUUGAGUGAAGUAGAGGCAGGCGGAAUUCCUAGUGUAGCGGUGAAAUGCGUAGAUAUUAGGAGGAACACCAGUGGCGAAGGCGGCCUGCUGGGCUUUUACUGACGCUGAGGCUCGAAAGUGUGGGGAGCAAACAGGAUUAGAUACCCUUGUAGUC